GCCAUCCAGGAUGACGAGAUGAUCUCCUACAUCAUCCAUGGGCUGGACAUGGACUACCAGCCUCUUGUCUCGGCUCUCCACACCCACGUCACGCCCGUCUCCCUCGACGAACUCUUUGCCAUGCUCAGCAACUUCGAUC
RNAcentral lists this small nucleolar RNA (139 nucleotides) under Triticum urartu. RNAcentral describes it as "Small nucleolar RNA Z247". It matches the Rfam family "Small nucleolar RNA Z247". From Rfam's summary of the family: Z247 is a member of the C/D class of snoRNA which contain the C (UGAUGA) and D (CUGA) box motifs. Most of the members of the box C/D family function in directing site-specific 2'-O-methylation of substrate RNAs. Lineage: Eukaryota; Viridiplantae; Streptophyta; Magnoliopsida; Poales; Poaceae. The record is from Rfam by way of RNAcentral.